CACCCCAGCAGUUCCAUCAGAUACUCCGGGACAACAUUACUGGGGUGCCUGAGGAAUUUGAACUUUGCCGGGUAAAUGGACAGCGGGAGGUGGUGCCCCUUACAGAGCAGUGCCCAAUGGACAUACAUACCCACCAGGCACUGCAACGGUCCAAUUUAUAUCUUCGGCCAAAGGUCAGCUAAUAUGUUUACAUUUUGUAUUAUGUAAUGUAAUAUGUCGUGCUAUAAAUUAAUGCUGUUAAUUUCCUUUAGAAUUCCACCAGUGAGGAACUCACAAUGAGGCAAGUGUUUUUUUCUUGUUGUGGCCUACUUCACAUUGUUUUUAAGUUGUCCCGUUUGUCUCUGGUAAUAAGGUUAUAUUCUGACUCAUGACUAAUUGCUCUACAGCAACCCCACCACCACAGAAAACGUCGUGCCACCCGGACCUAUGACAAAUCCUGCCCCUGAGGAUGAAUUAUCCCCUGCCAUCCCUGAGAUCCAGCCUGGGGUAUCAGUGAGCAAUGCAUCUUCAGUCGGUGGAGAACAUGAGGCUUUGCUAAGGCAAGUGAUUGUAAUUCCAUUCUAACGUCUUGUAAUGGCAUACACAUAAAUGAAGCCUUGAGUCUUUGUGUUGGUUGUCAUUAUCAUUGGCUACAUACUACACAGAAAGAUACUUGAUGAUGUAAAGGGAAAUGGGUAAAAUGACUUUUUGGAGAAUCCUACUUUUUGAGAAUACCAUUGUCCCAAUCGGUCCCAA
Molecule: long non-coding RNA, 735 nt
Organism: Gadus chalcogrammus (walleye pollock)
Lineage: Eukaryota; Metazoa; Chordata; Actinopteri; Gadiformes; Gadidae
Exons: 4
Source: RefSeq, a predicted model, not a curated record